CCAAUGAUUAUUUCAAGCCUUUUUCAUUAAGCUGAGAAAGCUAGUUGCUUAUCUUUAUAAUGCACCAGAAAGUAAAGGCUAGUAUUGCUGGGACUGCUUGUGUAAAUAAAGCAGGAUCAUUAAAUGCAGGAAAGGAAUCGCUACGACUGAAGACAGAUAUAUUUCAUAUUAGCCAGUCUGGCAAAAAUCAAGGUUAGCUCUCAAGAACAGGGCUCAACUAGGUGUUUUUUGUUGUUGUUGUUUUGUUUUUGUUUUGUUUUGCUUUAGCUCUACAGUUAACUGGUUUAGUUACAGAACAUUUCCUUUAUGUCUGUAAUUGUAUUCGCCCAAGUGCUGCAAAUGGGAUGUUUAAACGACCAGCUCCUCAAAUGUGAGUAAAUCAGCCGGCUAACAGAAGUCCAGUGACAGCGACGGGGAGGGAAUUAACGACGGUGUUCAGGAUGCAGGUUGUGACUCAGUGGAUUGUGAGACCUUUUUAAAAAGCAAAUGAAAGAGAAAAUGCCAGAAUGCAUUGCAUGUGGAAAGGAUAUAACUUGGCCCAUGAGCAGAAUUCUCGGCUUCACCUCAGUGCUGAAGGGGUCGCUGAAGUCCAGAACUGGAGAAACCACAAAAUGAGAAUGAAGGGCCAGAAGGAAAUCCAAGAGACAAGCUGUGUCCAAAGCUGUAGUCAACCCAGCUCUUUUCCGAUAAGGCAGAAUUAGAAGAAAAGGGGCUUACAUUUCAACACACUUGAUCCUCUUCUAAACUUGGCUCACUUCUAGCCCAUGAUAGGGCACUAGAAAAGUCCCCUGGUAUCUCUGAGCCAUGAUUUCAGUAUCAGUAUAACCAUUAUCUCUACUUCCAAGGAACAAUGAAAAGGUGAAGUCACUAAUAAUUUUUAAAUAUUUUAGGAAAAAGCCAUGCAGUCAUGCAUGCCUAUAAUCCUAGCUACUUGGGAGGCUGAAGCAGGAGGAUUGCUUGAGCUCACAAGUCCAAGACCAGUGUAGGCAACAUAGAGAGACCCAGUCCCUUCCCCACAAAAAGCUGACAUUAAUGAACUAAUGAUUAAUACAUAUGAAUUGCUGGAUUCACCCCAUCUACAUCCUUCAGGAAGGAAGACCUUGGAUCUUUCAUGCCUCCAGAAACCUACACACAGUCACUUCUUCAGACCCUAAGGGUGUGCACAGGCUGCUAUGAAGACAAAGACUGAACUUCACCAGACUGUAGGUGAACAGCUACAUUACGCCAAGUUUCUCCUAAAAAAAUGGGAGGCGUUUU
Long non-coding RNA from Piliocolobus tephrosceles (Ugandan red Colobus), 1257 nucleotides. RefSeq lists it as uncharacterized. Lineage: Eukaryota; Metazoa; Chordata; Mammalia; Primates; Cercopithecidae. The transcript has 4 exons. The record is from RefSeq and is a predicted model, not a curated record.